This 425-nucleotide ribosomal RNA is filed under the name uncultured bacterium. RNAcentral describes it as "bacterial SSU rRNA". It matches the Rfam family "Bacterial small subunit ribosomal RNA", at positions 356 to 773 of the family's 1533-position model. The record is from RNAcentral.
GGGGAAUAUUGGACAAUGGGGGCAACCCUGAUCCAGCGACGCCGCGUGUGUGAAGAAGGCCUGCGGGUUGUAAAGCACUUUUAGUGGGGAGGAAGGUCUGCGACCUAACACGUCGUGGAAUUGACUUAACCCACAGAAAAAGCACCGGCUAACUCUGUGCCAGCAGCCGCGGUAAUACAGAGGGUGCAAGCGUUAAUCGGAAUUACUGGGCGUAAAGCGUGCGUAGGCGGUUUCGUAAGUCGGGUGUGAAAGCCCCGGGCUCAACCUGGGAAUUGCAUUCGAGACUGCGAAGCUGGAGUGCGGAAGAGGGAAGUGGAAUUUCCGGUGUAGCGGUGAAAUGCGUAGAUAUCGGAAGGAACAUCAGUGGCGAAAGCGACUUCCUGGUCCAGCACUGACGCUCAGGCACGAAAGCGUGGGGAGCAAAC